This 517-nucleotide ribosomal RNA is filed under the name uncultured bacterium. RNAcentral's name for it is "bacterial SSU rRNA". It matches the Rfam family "Bacterial small subunit ribosomal RNA", at positions 501 to 1016 of the family's 1533-position model. The record is from RNAcentral.
CUACGUGCCAGCAGCCGCGGUAAUACGUAGGUCCCGAGCGUUAUCCGGAUUUAUUGGGCGUAAAGCGAGCGCAGGCGGUUAGAUAAGUCUGAAGUUAAAGGCUGUGGCUCAACCAUAGUUCGCUUUGGAAACUGUCAAACUUGAGUGCAGAAGGGGAGAGUGGAAUUCCAUGUGUAGCGGUGAAAUGCGUAGAUAUAUGGAGGAACACCGGUGGCGAAAGCGGCUCUCUGGUCUGUAACUGACGCUGAGGCUCGAAAGCGUGGGGAGCGAACAGGAUUAGAUACCCUGGUAGUCCACGCCGUAAACGAUGAGUGCUAGGUGUUGGAUCCUUUCCGGGAUUCAGUGCCGCAGCUAACGCAUUAAGCACUCCGCCUGGGGAGUACGACCGCAAGGUUGAAACUCAAAGGAAUUGACGGGGGCCCGCACAAGCGGUGGAGCAUGUGGUUUAAUUCGAAGCAACGCGAAGAACCUUACCAGGUCUUGACAUCCCGAUGCUAUUUCUAGAGAUAGAAAGUUA